GUGGGUGAGGAAGGUAGAAGACCAGGGAGGUGGGAGAGAAUGGGGCUCGGGGUGGAGAGGUAUAUUGUCAGGUACAUGAAUGGAAGCUUGGGGUGUGUAAGGGCUGGGAUGGAGUGAAGGACCAUUUCAGUUCUGCUGGCACUACAUUGGAGAGGAAUGUGACUGAUGGAUCUGCUGGGGUUGUGAGGUGGAUGAGGUGAAGGGGCGGUGUCAGGUCCAGAAGGUUGAGGGAUGGAAUUCGGUGCUACCAGGUCGGGACGGAGGGUCAGUACCACCUGGGUCGCUUUGGGUUGGGUUUCAGGUUAGUGAGGCAGGGGCUGUGUGGGUGUUGGGUGGUGAUGGGGGAAUGCAAAUUGCUGUCAGUUCCAAACCCAUUGGCAGGAGCAGGGAGUGUCUGUUCAGGGGCUAGUGGGGUUGGGCCGAGUAGGGUGUGAAGGCUGGUGAAGUGGAGGGGCUGUUGUUUUGCUGGUAAUGGGGUGGGCGGAAGGUGUCCCAUUCCAAUGUGGCUGUGGUCGGGGCGAAGGGGAGUCAUGUGUCAGUGAUGAGGGAUCUGUAGAAUCCUGGGGUUGGUGAGAAGGUGAUGGAGGUUUGGGACCAGCUGGGUCAUGAGUGUCAGGUGGAGGGGGUUUGUCCAAUCUGACAUGGUCAUGUCGGGGGUGUUGUCGGGUCAGGGGGAAUGGGGGAA
Molecule: non-coding RNA, 685 nt
Organism: Chiloscyllium plagiosum (whitespotted bambooshark)
Lineage: Eukaryota; Metazoa; Chordata; Chondrichthyes; Orectolobiformes; Hemiscylliidae
Source: RefSeq, a predicted model, not a curated record